AUACGGAGGGUGCAAGCGUUAUUCGGAAUCACUGGGCGUAAAGGACGCGUAGGAGGGUUGGCAAGUCAGAUGUGAAAUCCUACAGCUUAACUGUAGAACUGCAUUUGAAACUGCUAACCUAGAGUAUGGGAGGGGGAGAUGGAAUUAGUGGUGUAGGGGUAAAAUCCGUAGAUAUCACUAGGAAUACCGAAAGCGAAGGCGAUCUCCUGGAACAUAACUGACGCUAAAGCGUGAAAGCGUGGGGAGCAAACAGGAUUAGAAACCCCAGUAGUCC
This 274-nucleotide ribosomal RNA is filed under the name uncultured bacterium. RNAcentral describes it as "partial 16S ribosomal RNA". It matches the Rfam family "Bacterial small subunit ribosomal RNA", at positions 523 to 796 of the family's 1533-position model. The record is from RNAcentral.